Molecule: non-coding RNA, 80 nt
Organism: Glycine soja
Lineage: Eukaryota; Viridiplantae; Streptophyta; Magnoliopsida; Fabales; Fabaceae
Source: Rfam
UUCUUAUUGGAUGAUGACUGUUACAUGUCAUGUUCUAUAGAUUUGAUAUUCAAACAUGACACGUGUGACAGUUAUCAUCC